AAAUUUUCAUAAUAUAAAAUACAAAAAUUGACUAAUUUUUAAAUUAGUUAAUAUUUAACAUGUAUGUUAAAAAUGAUUAAAAAUAAAAUUUUAUAAUGUUAAAAUUCUUCUAAAUGAAGCUAGAUUCCAAUUGAUGACUGAUUGACAAACUGAUAAUUCAGUCACAGAAGAACACAAGAAACACAACUUGUACAAUUGAUAAUAAAAACGACAAAAGUUGCAAAUUAAACACUGCAAAACAUUAUACACAAUUAGAAAUUCAGAUUCCAUCUUCCCGGAAACGGCGUCGUCCCCGACGUGCGGCCUCUUCAAAGUUCGUUGUGGUUCCCGCCGUGCGGCCUAUCAUCUGAUAAAUUAAUUCACAGUUUCGGGACGUAAGUUUACAAAGAGAUAGCUAGACCAUUAGUUACCGAGGUACAAGAUACGGUACGGAAGAACUUACGGUCGGGCAAUUUAGCAGGGGAUGAAUCGGCAGCCAUUGCCGCCGGCAGAGGGCCUCCGAGUAUGAGAAAUAUGAGCAUGAUCACCAUUGUCACAGCCGUAACGGUGUUCUUGGAUACCAUACUUCUCUUUUGUGUGUACCUUCUAUUUGAAGAUAUGCAUAUGGGUUACUU
Molecule: long non-coding RNA, 614 nt
Filed under: Linum usitatissimum (flax)
Lineage: Eukaryota; Viridiplantae; Streptophyta; Magnoliopsida; Malpighiales; Linaceae
Description: long non-coding RNA (LUSI_LNC008279)
Source: RNAcentral